CUAAGCCGCGGAGAACUGUACUGUUUGUAAAGUCUUCAUGUAGAUUCAACCUUUCUCUUCCCCUAAAAACAAAAUUACCACGUUCGAUUUAUUAUUUUCGUAUAGUGUAUUAGAAUACGCACUGGUCGAGAAUGGGUUAAUCGUUCCCUGCUUACGAUCAGAAAUUAUUUCCCUGAUUUUGAUAUUCGGUUGAAUAAAGUAUUGUGGGCUAGUUUCCGAUAUUAAUUACAAUAAAAUGAAAGCAACCAAAGUUUGGAUGUCUACAAAGUCGAAAUAUUCCUUAUAUCAUACAAUUAUUUGUUUAAACACAGCGAAAUUACAAAACAGCUGACUGCGUGUUGUUUAAUUAAAUAUUUUCUUUGUCCGAACUGAAUAAUCUUAUAUACAGCUUAAGAUUUAUUUACCAUUCAAAAUGGAUGAAAGGGAACAAUCCCAGCUGACUGCCAGGUAACAAUGAUACCAUUGUUUUCCCCCAACCCACUCUGACGACCCAAUCCCUAAUCGCGCUACCGUUACAACUACAUCGAGAGCCACGAGCUUCUUGUACUAGGCUUGAAAUAAAAUGGCAGCCAUACAGCUGUGAUAUUGGGAGAGAUAAGACGCGCGGAAACGUACAUACAUAUGCCGGUUUCAAAGCAGAGCUUUGGGCCGCCCACGCUGCUGCAUUCUUAUCACGUCUAAGGCCCCCUCAUGUGGAAAAGGGAAAAGAUUUCAAUCCGAGCUAUAAUUAAUUUUUAAUUUAGUUUUUUUUUAAAUUAAAAACAACAACUCAACAAAAGGAGACAGCAAAUAAUAUUCAACAGAAACGCAACAAAGCAAACAGCAAAUAAUAUUCAACGCUACAGAAUUAUGGGAACAGGGUUUUUUUUGUAUCAGAUAAUAUUAAAGGGGAAUUCAAACCGUGUUCUAAGUACAUGCGGUACAUAUAAUGUGGGGACGGGCUCUUCAGUUUUACUCGUAGUAGUACAACCAUCCUGAACGUCCAAUAUUUGCAUAUCAUUAAGCUCACCUCUGAUUAAUCACUAAUGCAAUUUCGGUGUCAGUAUUUGCGAUUUUGAAGCCUUUCUCAUCCUCACGGAAGGCCAUUCGAGGAGUCAUGCCUUUUAAGCGCCUUUUCUGGAUGGAAGCGCUCCAGAAGGACACUUAGACAGCGGCGCUGCAGAUGCUUACCGCCUGGGCACAGAACAAAGCGCCGCAGGACUUCUGUGUCGGACCCAGUUGCAUGCGUCCUAUGUGCGCUCUAAAUGAAAUUUGUAUGCAUGUAUGACAGCGCCCGACCAUUGUGCCCUACCUGGAUCCUAUCGGUCGGUGUGCACUUAUGUUGACUCACUGCAAGAUCGGUUUUACAGCUGUCACCAAAGGGAUGCAAUUCUGCAUGGACUACUGCAACACUUGCUCCCGUCUUUGGAUAAAUGUACAAAUGAAAAAUCCUUGGUUUUUAUGGAUUCAUUGUAUCAUUAUAGGUUGCUCGGACUCUACAAUUUUAGUAGAUGAAGAAG
This is a long non-coding RNA of Drosophila miranda, 1499 nucleotides long. RefSeq lists it as uncharacterized. The transcript has 5 exons. Lineage: Eukaryota; Metazoa; Arthropoda; Insecta; Diptera; Drosophilidae. The record is from RefSeq and is a predicted model, not a curated record.